GCGGGCGUAGCUCAAUGGUAGAGCUUCAGGUUCCCAACCUGAUGACGUGGGUUCGAUUCCCAUCGCCCGCUCCA
This 74-nucleotide transfer RNA is filed under the name Marinobacter sp. RNAcentral describes it as "tRNA-Gly". It matches the Rfam family "tRNA". From Rfam's summary of the family: Transfer RNA (tRNA) molecules are approximately 80 nucleotides in length. Their secondary structure includes four short double-helical elements and three loops (D, anti-codon, and T loops). Further hydrogen bonds mediate the characteristic L-shaped molecular structure. tRNAs have two regions of fundamental functional importance: the anti-codon, which is responsible for specific mRNA codon recognition, and the 3' end, to which the tRNAs corresponding amino acid is attached (by aminoacyl-tRNA synthetases). tRNAs cope with the degeneracy of the genetic code in two manners: having more than one tRNA (with a specific anti-codon) for a particular amino acid; and 'wobble' base-pairing, i.e. permitting non-standard base-pairing at the 3rd anti-codon position. The record is from RNAcentral. RNAcentral also lists the same sequence under 2 other names. Lineage: Bacteria; Pseudomonadati; Pseudomonadota; Gammaproteobacteria; Pseudomonadales; Marinobacteraceae.